GACGAACGCUGGCGGCGUGCCUAACACAUGCAAGUCGAGCGGGGUUGAAGCGAGGGGUAACUCAAGCUUCUACCUAGCGGCGGACGGGUGAGUAACGCGUGGGCAACCUGCCUCAAGGUCUGGGAUAACAGCUCGAAAGGGCUGCUAAUACCGGAUAUGCCUAUGGCCUCGCAUGGGGCUAUGAGCAAAGGGGAAACCUGCCUUGAGAUGGGCCCGCGUCCCAUCAGCUAGUUGGUGAGGUAACAGCUCACCAAGGCGACGACGGGUAGCCGGCCUGAGAGGGUGACCGGCCACACUGGGACUGAGACACGGCCCAGACUCCUACGGGGGGCAGCAGUGGGGGAUCUUGCACAAUGGGCGAAAGCCUGAUGCAGCGACGCCGCGUGAGCGAAGAAGGCCUUCGGUUGUAAAGCUCUGUCUGGAGGGACGAAGGAAGUGACGGUACCGUCCGGAGGAAGCCACGGCUAACUACGUGCCAGCAGCCGCGGUAAUAGUCACG
RNAcentral lists this ribosomal RNA (499 nucleotides) under uncultured bacterium. RNAcentral's name for it is "bacterial SSU rRNA". It matches the Rfam family "Bacterial small subunit ribosomal RNA", at positions 28 to 531 of the family's 1533-position model. The record is from RNAcentral.